Molecule: long non-coding RNA, 599 nt
Organism: Esox lucius (northern pike)
Lineage: Eukaryota; Metazoa; Chordata; Actinopteri; Esociformes; Esocidae
Source: Ensembl
UUGGUGAGUGGUUAGUCCCUGAACCUUCUCUAACCCCUGGAACAGGGGCGUUGUAGGACCAGCGUGGCAGACGUCCAUAUCUCCUCAUCCAACCUGGCCUCAUCGGUUAAAACUGCUGCACGGCCACGGCCGGUGCUCCCACUCAUGGACUAUGCCUGCCAGCUAUGUGUACUUGGACCUAAAGAUGUGUGUGGAUUACUGAGCAGAAGAUCACCUUGACUAUGACCAGUCAUAGAGAGCCGUGGGCUGUGGAGCUGAGAAGAGAGGCUUGCUUCUCCCCCCACCAAACACCUCCAUCACCCGCCUCUACCCCCAGGCUUGGGGUUCUCCUGAGGUUGAGGGUAGGACUGACUGAUGAGGUCCCAGCCUCUGUAAUGACAUAGGACAAGGCCUUCCCGUUUUCUUUGAAAAGAGAGGAGAAGGUUGUUCAUCUCUGGGUACUCUAACCCCCUGUCUUUCAACCACUUCCUCUGACCCACAAUCCCUACAUUUCUCAACUCUAUUGCCUCAUGGCCAUUUCCAGUACCCUGGUGUGUUGGCAGUUCUCAGCUGCAGCAUGAACUCCAGAACACUAAUCUGUAUUUGUAGUUAUACCAGCG